UCGGGGGAGGGAGCGGAGCCCGCGGAGCGCCGGAUCCCCGCGCGCAGCGAGUCGCCUGGGAAGGUCGGGGCGCGCGGCGGGACGCUGGAGGCUCGGAAAGCGCUGAGCCGGGCUCUCUCGGAAAUGCGGAUAUUGUCUUUCCGCUCCUGGAAAUCGGGGUCACGCCUCCCAGUUAGGGUUUGUGGUGAUCAAUUGUAAGAAUAAAGAAGCCUUGAGACCGGCUGGGAGUGGACUUCUUUGCUACACGCGUGAUCCUGGGGAGUAUUCCAGAGUCAGUGACCAGCUUGACACCAUUUGACUGAUGACCCCUUGGAGAAAAUUUGUCCCUUUUGAGAUGAAAAGGAUCUCUGAUGCGUGGUAUUGUUCCUUAGGAUGACUGCUGUCCCAUGAAAGCUGCCUGUGGAUACCUGGGGAGAAGAGCAGCAAUUCAUGCAAAGCGCAGCUGGAACAGAAAUUGGUUCCAGACAUGAAUGGAUACAGCAUGAGAUGGAUUCAGCUGCAGUUUGGGGCCCAGAGAGCAUCAAAACUGCAAUCUUAAUGUGAAAGCACAUUAAUUGGUAUAAUCAGCCAGAUAAUAAUGCAUAGUAGACAAGAAAACUGAGUUUUCAUGAGCAUAGCAGUGGUAACUAUUGCUUAGUAAAUUGUCUGUGUGUGUGCGUGAAGAGACAGGGAGAGGAGGGUCUGGGGGAGGGGCAAGAAGGGAAAAGGAGAGGUAGGGAAAGAGAUUAACACAACAGCAGGGUCUAUUCAUGAAGAAAGCUAGACGGAAACUGAACUCAGAUAGGCGCAUUAAUCCACAUGGGUUGUCUUUGCUGUCCUAGCCAUCAACACCCAGGAUUCACCAUGUCAGGCAGGCUGGGGAACAAGACUUCCCUGCCACCAGGGAUCCCACCUGCCACCAUUACACAGGAUUCUAAGCAUGCCAGAGGAAGAGGCUAGGAAGUCGAAGACACUGUGGGUGUCUCCAACCCAGCAAAGAGUUGAUCUUGAGUUUGCCGGAGAGGGUCCCAGUUUAGGGAGCUGAAAUAGUUAAGGUGGGAAAGCUAAAAACACUAAUGUCCUUUGAGUGCAAGUCUCUGAAUUGUUUUCAGAUAUUAUUUAUUGUAUCUGAAAAAUCCAUACAAACAGAUUCGUCACUAGAAACUGCUUGUAUUAUUUCUUUAUAUUUGUUUCUGAUUUUCAGUUUUGCUGAUGAGGUAUUUGAGAAACUAACUUCAGGAUUCUUUGCCUCCUCCUGAUGUAAUUACCGUGUUUGAAUAAUGUAUUUUGUCCAAUAAUGUAUUUGAAUAAUGUAUAGUGUCCAAACACUUUUUAAAAAUAUACUAGAUUAAUGAGUUAAUUUGUUAAUAUGUUAAUGUUUUGGAUAUGAAUCAUAUCCAACAAAGUAGACUUUGAGUUUUCUUCUCUGUAUUGUCCUAGCACCUAUGUGAUAAUAUGCAUUUCUUGCCAACAGAUAGGCUUGAUACAUCAUAAAGUAUCAGCUAAAUCAUUCCUAAAAAAGUAUCUUGCUAAAAUUUGAAACUAACAAUAAACAUAUGAAUAAAUAUAUUUAACCCAGUA
Molecule: long non-coding RNA, 1560 nt
Organism: Arvicola amphibius (Eurasian water vole)
Lineage: Eukaryota; Metazoa; Chordata; Mammalia; Rodentia; Cricetidae
Exons: 3
Source: RefSeq, a predicted model, not a curated record